CCUACGGGAGGCAGCAGUGGGGAAUAUUGCACAAUGGGCGCAAGCCCGAUGCAGCCAUGCCGCGUGUAUGAAGAAGGCCUUCGGGUUGUAAAGUACUUUCAGCGGGGAGGAAGGCGAUAAGGUUAAUAACCUUGUCGAUUGACGUUACCCGCAGAAGAAGCACCAGCUAACUCCGUGCCAGCAGCCGCGGUAAUACGGAGGGUGCAAGCGUUAAUCGGAAUUGCUGGGCGUAAAGCGCACGCAGGCGGUCUGUCAAGUCGGAUGUGAAAUCCCCGGGCUCGACCUGGGAACUGCAUUCGAAACUGGCAGGCUAGAGUCUUGUAGAGGGGGGUAGAAUUCCAGGUGUAGCGGUGAAAUGCGUAGAGAUCUGGAGGAAUACCGGUGGCGAAGGCGGCCCCCUGGACAAAGACUGACGCUCAGGUGCAAAAGCGUGGGGAGCAAACAGGAUUAGAUACCCCUGUAGUC
This 465-nucleotide ribosomal RNA is filed under the name uncultured bacterium. RNAcentral's name for it is "bacterial SSU rRNA". It matches the Rfam family "Bacterial small subunit ribosomal RNA", at positions 338 to 795 of the family's 1533-position model. The record is from RNAcentral.